This 2235-nucleotide ribosomal RNA is filed under the name human gut metagenome. Its description in RNAcentral is "bacterial LSU rRNA". It matches the Rfam family "Bacterial large subunit ribosomal RNA", at positions 3 to 2317 of the family's 2925-position model. The record is from RNAcentral.
UCAAGCUACAAAGAGCGCAAGGGGAAUGCCUUGGCACUGGGAGCCGAUGAAGGACGCGACUAACUGCGAUAAGCUACGGGGAGCCGUAAGUAGGCAUUGAUCCGUAGAUUUCCGAAUGGAGCAAUCCGAUUAAAGUCAUGUUUAAUCAUCAUACACUGAAUACAUAGGUGUAUGAGGGGAACCGCCUGAACUGAAACAUCUAAGUAGGGCGAGGAAGAGAAAUCAACCGAGAUUCCGCUAGUAGUGGCGAGCGAACGCGGAAGAGGCCAAACCGGAGGUAGCAAUAUUUCCGGGGUUAGGACUGCAAUAUGUAACUUUAAUCUUUAACUGAAUGCUUUGGGAAGAGCAGCGAUACAGGGUGAUAGCCCCGUAAGUGAAAAGGAUUGAGUGCUAGCAGUAUCCAGAGUACCAGCGGACACGUGAAACCCGCUGGGAAGAUGGGGGGACCAUCCUCCAAGCCUAAAUACUACUCAGUGACCGAUAGUGGAGCAGUACCGUGAGGGAAAGGUGAAAAGUACCCCGGGAGGGGAGUGAAAAAGAACCUGAAACCUUGUGCCUACAAGCACCGAGAGCACGUUAAAGUGUGAUCGGGUACUUUUUGUAGAACGGUCCGGCGAGUUAAUAUUUGCAGCGAGGUUAAGGAACUGGAGUUCCGGAGCCGCAGCGAGAGCGAGUCUGAAAAGGGCGUAUGAAGUUGCAGGUAUUAGACCCGAAACCGGGUGACCUAUCCAUGAGCAGGCUGAAGCGGUGGUAAGACACCGUGGAGGGCCGCACCCACGUCUGUUGAAAAAGCCGGGGAUGACUUGUGGAUAGCGGAGAAAUUCCAAUCGAACUCGGAGAUAGCUGGUUCUCCCCGAAAUAGCUUUAGGGCUAGCGUUAUUUUAGAUUACCGGAGGUAAAGCACUGAAUGGUCUAGGGGCCGCGAGGUUACCAAAGCCUAUCAAACUCUGAAUGCCGGAUAAUUGAUGAAUAGCAGUCAGACUGUGUGAGAUAAGUCUCAUAGUCAAAAGGGAAACAGCCCAGAUCUACAGCUAAGGUCCCAAAUGAACACUAAGUGGAAAAUGAUGUGAAACUGCGAAGACAACCAGGAUGUUGGCUUAGAAGCAGCCACUCAUUCAAAGAGUGCGUAAUAGCUCACUGGUCGAGUGGUUUUGCGCAGAAAAUGUAACGGGGCUAAGUGUUCAACCGAAGCUUAGGCAUUGCAGUAAUGCAUUGGGUAGGGGAGCGUCGUAUGCGGGGCGAAGUCAGAGCGGAAGCACUGGUGGACUGCAUACGAGUGAGAAUGCCGGAAUAAGUAGCGAGAAUUAUGUGAGAAUCAUAAUGGCCGAAAAUCUAAGGUUUCUUGGGGAAGGUUCGUCCGCCCAAGGUAAGUCGGGAGCUAAGCUCAGGCCGAAAGGCGUAGGCGAUGCACAUACGGUAGAAAUUCCGUAACCACCGAACAUUUAAGCUAGAGGGACGCUUUCUUUAAGGUUAUCCCGGGCGAUGGUUGCCCCGGGCGUAAGGGACCGAAAUAUAGUAGGGAAGUAACUGGCGAGAGAGACGAGAAAAGCUCUAGUGUAUACUAAGGUGCCCGUACCGCAAACCGACACAGGUAGAUGGGAUGAGUAUUCUAAGGCCAACGGGAGAAGGGUUGUUAAGGAACUCGGCAAAUUGGCCCCGUAACUUCGGGAUAAGGGGCGCCUGCGAGAGCAGGCCGCAGUGAAAAGGCCCAAGCGACUGUUUAGCAAAAACACAGCUCUCUGCUAAAUCGAAAGAUGACGUAUAGGGGGUGACGCCUGCCCGGUGCUGGAAGGUUAAGGGGAGUGCUUAGCGCAAGCGAAGGUGCGAACUUAAGCCCCAGUAAACGGCGGCCGUAACUAUAACGGUCCUAAGGUAGCGAAAUUCCUUGUCAGGUAAGUUCUGACCCGCACGAAUGGCGUAACGAUUUGGGCACUGUCUCAACAGCCCGCCCGGCGAAAUUGUAGUACCGGUGAAGAUGCCGGUUUCCCGCAACUAGACGGAAAGACCCCAUGGAGCUUCACUGUAGCUUGAUAUUGGAUCUCGGUAUUCCAUGUACAGGAUAGGUGGGAGGCUAGGAAGUAAGCGCGCCAGCGUUUAUGGAGCCAACCUUGGGAUACCACUCUUGGGAUAUUGGGAUUCUAACCUGCGACCAUGAAUCUGGUCGGGGGACACUGUCAGGUGGGCAGUUUGACUGGGGCGGUCGCCUCCAAAAGAGUAACGGAGGCGCUCAAAGGU